Gymnothorax javanicus (giant moray) is the source of this 73-nucleotide non-coding RNA. The record is from the annotation of a GenBank genome assembly. NCBI's taxonomy places the organism in Eukaryota, Metazoa, Chordata, Actinopteri, Anguilliformes, Muraenidae.
UCCACAGUGGCGCAGUGAUUAGUGCUGUUGUCUCACAAUAAGCCGGCUCUGGGUUUGAGCCCCAGCUGGGCAG